ACUAACGCAUUCCUAAAUAAUCAAAAGACAGAAUCAUAGAAACCCUAACGCCUAAACCAGCAGCCAUCAGUCCUCGUCGUUGUCGACUUCCGCCAGCCACCGGUCUCCCUCUCGCCGUCUCGUCUCUCCCUCUCGCGGCUUCUUAUCUUCUUAUCCAGUGACUCAUACAUAGCUGAAAAUAUACAAAGUGAUAAGGUGAUGAUGGGUGAAAGUGGGGCUUCUAAUUCAAAUGCAAUAAGUCAAGCUCAAACAACAGAGUUAAAUAUAACCAACAAAAAGAGAAAAAGGUCUGUUGUGUGGGAUCAUUUUAUAGAAAUUAUUACUUCUGAAGGGAGUACAAAAGCAAUGUGACUAUCGCUUUAUUGAGUAUGUAUUUAAGACCAAUGACGAUUUAGCCAGCAAUGGAAAAGACCCUUCCGUAAUUGACGUGUAGCGUUAAUAUAUUUGGUGAGACUGUGACUUUAAUUGCUGAGACUGUGAAGUGAGACUGUGACAUUGAUUGCUGCAGUACAUAUGAGUACAGAAGCAUGGUGAUAAGAAGAAAGUGGAAUUGAUUCAAUGUGUUCUUUUUCCUUUUACUGUACUUUUUUGUUUUUGAACUAGUUGCUUACACUAUGUUGUUUCAUCCUUUUCUGAAGAAUUUAGAAAGCAAGGUCACAUGAUUGUGAACUUCCUUGCUGAUUACUAUCAAAAUAUUGAAAAAUAUCCAGUUUGUAGCCAAGUCAAUCCAGGCUAUCUCAAAGUAUUGUUGCCAAAACCAACAUAUUAAUACAUGCUCUUUUGUUGCUUGCUUUUUA
Molecule: long non-coding RNA, 797 nt
Organism: Nicotiana tabacum (common tobacco)
Lineage: Eukaryota; Viridiplantae; Streptophyta; Magnoliopsida; Solanales; Solanaceae
Source: RefSeq, a predicted model, not a curated record